Molecule: ribosomal RNA, 135 nt
Organism: Neogale vison (American mink)
Lineage: Eukaryota; Metazoa; Chordata; Mammalia; Carnivora; Mustelidae
Source: Ensembl
GUCUACGGCCAUACCAACCUGAACGUGCCCGAUCUCGUCUCAUCUAGGAAGCUAAGCAGGGUCGGGCCUGGUUAGUACUUGGAUGGAAGAAUUAUUUACACGAAAUUUUCUAUGGAGAAAAUGCCACAAAGAACA